GGGGGUGUGGCGCAAUGGUAGCGUAUGUUUAAUUCAUUCUUUCUUGCAACAGGUCGUAACUAACUAAGGUGAUAGGCGUCAGAUUCCAGUAAUAUGGGAUUUCCUGAAGGCUAUGUGUUCAAAUCACAUCAUCCUCA
Molecule: non-coding RNA, 137 nt
Organism: Patellaria atrata CBS 101060
Lineage: Eukaryota; Fungi; Ascomycota; Dothideomycetes; Patellariales; Patellariaceae
Source: the annotation of a GenBank genome assembly